GAUUUACUUCAAUACUUAAUUGAUAGGUGGUGCCGCUGUUUUGUCACCUCACCCAGUUUUACAUUUUAAAAAUAGAUACCUUUUCAUAAAUUGCGUAGAAAAAAAACAUUACCUUUUCCCAUAAUGAUUUGGUUUCAUGUGGUUUUAUGUAAAAGAGUAAUACUUAAGUGUCAAAAGAGAAAAAUUGGUUGAUAAAGACACAGCGGGAACACCAAACAAGUUGACAGUCAAAGAAGUUAUGGGAUCUUUAUUGUCCUUAUCAUAUAUUUCUGAUAGUUUUCUUAACAUUUCACUUAUUCAAGCUUAAAAAGGUGUAAAUAG
This 321-nucleotide long non-coding RNA is filed under the name Mytilus galloprovincialis (Mediterranean mussel). The record is from RNAcentral. Lineage: Eukaryota; Metazoa; Mollusca; Bivalvia; Mytilida; Mytilidae.